UCCAGACUCCUACGGGAGGCAGCAGUGGGGGAUAUUGCACAAUGGGGGGAACCCUGAUGCAGCGACGCCGCGUGGGUGAAGAAGCGCCUCGGCGCGUAAAGCCCUGUCAGCAGGGAAGAAAAUGACGGUACCUGAAGAAGAAGCCCCGGCUAACUACGUGCCAGCAGCCGCGGUAAUACGUAGGGGGCAAGCGUUAUCCGGAUUUACUGGGUGUAAAGGGAGCGUAGACGGCGAUGCAAGUCUGAAGUGAAAGGCGGGGGCCCAACCCCCGGACUGCUUUGGAAACUGUAUGGCUGGAGUGCAGGAGAGGUAAGUGGAAUUCCUAGUGUAGCGGUGAAAUGCGUAGAUAUCAGGAGGAACACCGGUAGCGAAGGCGGCCUGCUGGACUGCGACUGACGUUGAGGCCCGAAAGCGUGGGGAGCAAACAGGAUUAGAUACCCCGGUA
Molecule: ribosomal RNA, 445 nt
Filed under: uncultured bacterium
Lineage: Bacteria
Description: partial 16S ribosomal RNA
Rfam family: Bacterial small subunit ribosomal RNA
Source: RNAcentral